ACCUGGGUGGCUCAGUUGGUUGAGCGUCUGACUGCAGCUCAGGUCAUAAUCUCAUGGUCUGUGAGUUCAAAUCCCAGGUC
RNAcentral lists this transfer RNA (80 nucleotides) under Felis catus (domestic cat). It matches the Rfam family "tRNA". From Rfam's summary of the family: Transfer RNA (tRNA) molecules are approximately 80 nucleotides in length. Their secondary structure includes four short double-helical elements and three loops (D, anti-codon, and T loops). Lineage: Eukaryota; Metazoa; Chordata; Mammalia; Carnivora; Felidae. The record is from Rfam by way of RNAcentral.